AGCUUGCUACCUGACCUAGCGGCGGACGGGUGAGUAAUGCUUAGGAAUCUGCCUAUUAGCGGGGGACAACAUUCCGAAAGGAAUGCUAAUACCGCAUACGCCCUACGGGGGAAAGCAGGGGAUCUUCGGACCUUGCGCUAAUAGAUGAGCCUAAGUCAGAUUAGCUAGUUGGUGGGGUAAAGGCCUACCAAGGCGACGAUCUGUAGCGGGUCUGAGAGGAUGAUCCGCCACACUGGGACUGAGACACGGCCCAGACUCCUACGGGAGGCAGCAGUGGGGAAUAUUGGACAAUGGGCGAAAGCCUGAUCCAGCCAUGCCGCGUGUGUGAAGAAGGCCUUUUGGUUGUAAAGCACUUUAAGCGAGGAGGAGGCUACUUGGAUUAAUACUCUAGGAUAGUGGACGUUACUCGCAGAAUAAGCACCGGCUAACUCUGUGCCAGCAGCCGCGGUAAUACAGAGGGUGCGAGCGUUAAUCGGAUUUACUGGGCGUAAAGCGUGCGUAGGCGGCUUUUUAAGUCGGAUGUGAAAUCCCUGAGCUUAACUUAGGAAUUGCAUUCGAUACUGGGAAGCUAGAGUAUGGGAGAGGAUGGUAGAAUUCCAGGUGUAGCGGUGAAAUGCGUAGAGAUCUGGAGGAAUACCGAUGGCGAAGGCAGCCAUCUGGCCUAAUACUGACGCUGAGGUACGAAAGCAUGGGGAGCAAACAGGAUUAGAUACCCUGGUAGUCCAUGCCGUAAACGAUGUCUACUAGCCGUUGGGGCCUUUGAGGCUUUAGUGGCGCAGCUAACGCGAUAAGUAGACCGCCUGGGGAGUACGGUCGCAAGACUAAAACUCAAAUGAAUUGACGGGGGCCCGCACAAGCGGUGGAGCAUGUGGUUUAAUUCGAUGCAACGCGAAGAACCUUACCUGGUCUUGACAUAGUAAGAACUUUCCAGAGAUGGAUUGGUGCCUUCGGGAACUUACAUACAGGUGCUGCAUGGCUGUCGUCAGCUCGUGUCGUGAGAUGUUGGGUUAAGUCCCGCAACGAGCGCAACCCUUUUCCUUAUUUGCCAGCGAGUAAUGUCGGGAACUUUAAGGAUACUGCCAGUGACAAACUGGAGGAAGGCGGGGACGACGUCAAGUCAUCAUGGCCCUUACGACCAGGGCUACACACGUGCUACAAUGGUCGGUACAAAGGGUUGCUACCUAGCGAUAGGAUGCUGAUCUCAAAAAGCCGAUCGUAGUCCGGAUUGGAGUCUGCAACUC
RNAcentral lists this ribosomal RNA (1241 nucleotides) under uncultured Acinetobacter sp. Its description in RNAcentral is "bacterial SSU rRNA". It matches the Rfam family "Bacterial small subunit ribosomal RNA", at positions 77 to 1313 of the family's 1533-position model. The record is from RNAcentral. Lineage: Bacteria; Pseudomonadati; Pseudomonadota; Gammaproteobacteria; Moraxellales; Moraxellaceae.